Molecule: unclassified non-coding RNA, 721 nt
Filed under: Hevea brasiliensis (rubber tree)
Lineage: Eukaryota; Viridiplantae; Streptophyta; Magnoliopsida; Malpighiales; Euphorbiaceae
Source: RNAcentral
UUCCAUCUCUAGGUCUCUCAACUAAUACGUAUACAUGCACCCCAUUUACAAAAAUUGUAAUUAAAGUCAAAAUCUGUUACCCUUAAUAUUGAUUUUGGCUUGAACACUGCAUAUGUAGAUAGAGAGAAAAAAUACUUUUUAAAUAACAUCUAUACCACUCUUGUUCUGUUCCAGUACCUUUCUCAUACUGCAAGCAAUGCAUUCAAAUCCAUACUAGAAAUUGAUUUUUGCAAGAAUAAAAUUCAUCAAACGGUAUAAAAUUGAUUAUUAUGCCAUUAAUAAAAUGAUUCUUAAUGCGUGCACAAAAAGAGAGAGAUUUCAAUAGAAAAGUUGUAGCUGUAAUGGCUCAUUCAUUAACUGAUGAAACAGUAGCAUUAAUUCUUUGACAAGAUACCUUGUACUCGCCAGCUGCACUAGUAGUAAGAGACAUGGAAGCCUUCAGCUUAAUAAUCUUGCUACUAGCUCUUUGAUGGUGAAGUUGGCUUGACUUGACCUUUUUUCCCAUGAACUCUCCAUUAGCAAACUGCAAAAGUUUUGAGUUCCUCCCAGCUAGUCCAACCGCCCCAUGCAGCUGCCCGGCAGCGGAGAGGGAGAACCGGCAAUGGUAAUCUGCCAAUACUGCCAUUUUCUUGGAAAAUUAGAAUGUGAAACAAAUAAGAUCUUGCAUGUAUAUUAAUUAGCGAGGGAGAGUGGAGAAGUGCAAAUUUUUGCAGAGACGGAG